UCGGCAGGGGNCAUCAAGUNUCUUCAAAGUNGGACUUACUCCGGGUGGCAGUGGAAACGGUGCGCUUGAGGGCGNCAGGGUAGAGGGAUUNCCAGUGUACGGUAAANGCGUAGAGAUUGGGAAGAACAGCGGUGGCGAAAGCGCUCUACUGGGUCGCACNUGACCUCAGGGACGAAAGCUAAGGUAGCGAAAGGGAUUAGAUACCCCUGUAGUCUUAGCCGUAAACGAUGGAUACUAGGCGUGGCUUGUAUCGANCCAAGCCGUGCCGAAGCUAACGCGUUAAGUAUCCCGCCUGGGGAGUACGCACGCAAGUGUGAAACUCAAAGGAAUUGACGGGGGCCCGCACAAGCGGUGGAGGAUGUGGUUUAAUUCGAUGCAACGCGAAGGACCUUACCAGGGCUUGACAUCCCGCGAAUCUCGGUGAAAGCCGAGAGUGCCUUCGGGAGCGCGGAGACAGGUGGUGCAUGGCUGUCGUCAGCUCGUGUCGUGAGAUGUUGGGUUAAGUCCCGCAACGAGCGCAACCCUCGUCCUUAGUUGCCAGCCUUAAGUGGGGCACUCUAGGGAGACUGCCGGUGACAAACCGGAGGAAGGUGAGGAUGACGUCAAGUCAGCAUGCCCCUUAUGCUCUGGGCAACACACGUCCUACAAUGGUCGGGACAAAGGGGAGCGAGCUCGCGAGAGUCAGCAAAUCCCAGCAAACUCGGCCUCAGUUCAGAUGGCAGGCUGCAACUCGCCUGCCUGAAGGAGGAAUCGCUAGUAAUCGCUGGUCAGCAUACAGCGGUGAAUUCGUUCCCGGGCCUUGUACACACCGCCCGUCACACCAUGGAAGAAGGGCAAGCCCGAAGUCGUUACCCUAACCGUGCGCCNCCCNNNANNGNCGAAGGCUGGGCUGGUGACUGGGGUGAAGUCGUAACAANCANCCAANGUGANNAGUGCU
This 937-nucleotide ribosomal RNA is filed under the name uncultured bacterium. Its description in RNAcentral is "partial 16S ribosomal RNA". It matches the Rfam family "Bacterial small subunit ribosomal RNA", at positions 569 to 1533 of the family's 1533-position model. The record is from RNAcentral.